CUGCCUUGAUCCACUUGGCUACAUCCGC
Molecule: transfer RNA, 28 nt
Filed under: Elatostema setulosum
Lineage: Eukaryota; Viridiplantae; Streptophyta; Magnoliopsida; Rosales; Urticaceae
Description: partial tRNA-His
Source: RNAcentral